Molecule: ribosomal RNA, 251 nt
Filed under: uncultured prokaryote
Description: partial 16S rRNA
Rfam family: Bacterial small subunit ribosomal RNA
Source: RNAcentral
ACGUAGGUGGCGAGCGUUGUCCGGAAUUACUGGGUGUAAAGGGAGCGCAGGCGGGGAAACAAGUCAGCUGUGAAAACUAUGGGCUUAAACCAUAAACUGCAGUUGAAACUGUUUUUCUUGAGUGGAGUAGAGGUAGGCGGAAUACCAGGUGUUGCGGUGUAAGGCGUAAAUAUCUGGAUGAACACCGGUGGCGAAGGCAGCCUUCUGGUCCGGUACUGACGCUGAGGCACGAAAGCCAUGUGAGCAAACGG